UGGGGAAUAUUGGACAAUGGGCGCAAGCCUGAUCCAGCCAUGCCGCGUGAGUGAUGAAGGCCCUAGGGUUGUAAAGCUCUUUCACCGGUGAAGAUAAUGACGGUAACCGGAGAAGAAGCCCCGGCUAACUUCGUGCCAGCAGCCGCGGUAAUACGAAGGGGGCUAGCGUUGUUCGGAUUUACUGGGCGUAAAGCGCACGUAGGCGGACUAUUAAGUCAGGGGUGAAAUCCCGGGGCUCAACCCCGGAACUGCCUUUGAUACUGGUAGUCUUGAGUUCGAGAGAGGUGAGUGGAAUUCCGAGUGUAGAGGUGACAUUCGUAGAUAUUCGGAGGAACACCAGUGGCGAAGGCGGCUCACUGGCUCGAUACUGACGCUGAGGUGCGAAAGCGUGGGGAGCAAACAGG
This 404-nucleotide ribosomal RNA is filed under the name Actinomycetes bacterium. RNAcentral describes it as "Actinobacteria bacterium partial 16S ribosomal RNA". It matches the Rfam family "Bacterial small subunit ribosomal RNA", at positions 355 to 776 of the family's 1533-position model. The record is from RNAcentral. Lineage: Bacteria; Bacillati; Actinomycetota; Actinomycetes.